RNAcentral lists this long non-coding RNA (243 nucleotides) under Cucumis sativus (cucumber). Its description in RNAcentral is "long non-coding RNA (CSAT_LNC002953)". The record is from RNAcentral. Lineage: Eukaryota; Viridiplantae; Streptophyta; Magnoliopsida; Cucurbitales; Cucurbitaceae.
CAUUGAUGGUCCGGAUAUGCUUACCAAAUGACUGCGAAGAAUCGACUUGAGAUGUCUUAAGUUUCUCACAAUAUUCACAAUUGGAGAAACUUGAGUAUCUUUGGUCCAAGCAGACGACACAACAUCCAUAAAGGACGCUUCUUCAACCCAAUGGUUAAAGAAAUGAAAAGAGACCACUCGCUAGCUUUGCUGAUUACUAAGAUAGACAAGAAUGGGGGAAUGAUCAGAAAUACCCCACGGGAG